GACGAACGCUGGCGGCGUGCUUAACACAUGCAAGUCGAACGGAAAGGCCCUGCUCUUGUGGGGUGCUCGAGUGGCGAACGGGUGAGUAACACGUGAGUAACCUGCCCUUGACUUUGGGAUAACUUCAGGAAACUGGGGCUAAUACCGGAUAGGAGCUCCUGCUGCAUGGUGGGGGUUGGAAAGUUUCGGCGGUUGGGGAUGGACUCGCGGCUUAUCAGCUUGUUGGUGGGGUAGUGGCUUACCAAGGCUUUGACGGGUAGCCGGCCUGAGAGGGUGUCCGGCCACAUUGGGACUGAGAUACGCCCCAGACUCCUACGGGAGCAAGCAGUCGGGAAUAUUGCACAAUGAGCGGAGGCCUGAUGCAGCAACGCCGCGUGCGGGAUGACGGCCUUCGGGUUGAGAACCGCUUUCGCCUGUGACGAAGCGUGUGUGACGGUAAUGGGUAAAGAAGCAACGGCUAACUACGUG
This 468-nucleotide ribosomal RNA is filed under the name uncultured bacterium. Its description in RNAcentral is "partial 16S ribosomal RNA". It matches the Rfam family "Bacterial small subunit ribosomal RNA", at positions 28 to 507 of the family's 1533-position model. The record is from RNAcentral.